This 301-nucleotide ribosomal RNA is filed under the name uncultured bacterium. RNAcentral describes it as "partial 16S ribosomal RNA". It matches the Rfam family "Bacterial small subunit ribosomal RNA", at positions 509 to 809 of the family's 1533-position model. The record is from RNAcentral.
CAGCCGCCACGGGAAUACAGAGGGUGCAAGCGUUAAUCGGAAUUACUGGGCGUAAAGCGCGCGUAGGUGGUUUGUUAAGUUGGAUGUGAAAUCCCCGGGCUCAACCUGGGAACUGCAUCCAAAACUGGCAAGCUAGAGUAUGGUAGAGGGUGGUGGAAUUUCCUGUGUAGCGGUGAAAUGCGUAGAUAUAGGAAGGAACACCAGUGGCGAAGGCGACCACCUGGACUGAUACUGACACUGAGGUGCGAAAGCGUGGGGAGCAAACAGGAUUAGAUACCCCCGUAGUCCCUGUCUCUUAUAA